AGCAGCCGCGGUAAUUCCAGCUCCAAUAGCGUAUAUUAAAGUUGUUGCAGUUAAAAAGCUCGUAGUUGAAUUUCGGGAUCAGUACGCUGGUCGUGCCUCCGGUAUGUACUGGUGUCACUGAUUCCUCCCUUCUGAAGAACCAUCAUGCCAUUCACUUGGUGUGGUGGGGAAUCAGGACUGUUACUUUGAAAAAUUAGAGUGUUUAAAGCAGGCUCGCGCUUGAAUACAUUAGCAUGGAAUAAUGAAAUAGGACGUUUAUCCUAUUUUGUUGGUUUCUAGGAUUGACGUAAUGAUUAAUAGGGAUAGUUGGGGGCAUUAGUAUUCAAUUGUCAGAGGUGAAAUUCUUGGAUUUAUUGAAGACUAACUACUGCGAAAGCAUUUGCCAAGGAUGUUUUCAUUAAUCAAGAACGAAAGUUAGGGGAUCGAAGACGAUCAGAUACCGUCGUAGUCUUAACCAUAAACUAUGCCGACUAGGGAUCGGAUGAUGUUAAUUUUUUAAUAGUACUCAUUC
RNAcentral lists this ribosomal RNA (511 nucleotides) under uncultured Glomeromycotina. RNAcentral's name for it is "SSU rRNA". It matches the Rfam family "Eukaryotic small subunit ribosomal RNA", at positions 569 to 1081 of the family's 1831-position model. The record is from RNAcentral. Lineage: Eukaryota; Fungi; Glomeromycota.